Molecule: ribosomal RNA, 658 nt
Filed under: uncultured bacterium
Lineage: Bacteria
Description: bacterial SSU rRNA
Rfam family: Bacterial small subunit ribosomal RNA
Source: RNAcentral
GCAGUCGAGCGGUAAGGCUUUCACAGAUUAUUUGAACGGAACAGUUCGCUAAUCAGCGAAUACUAUCUGACACAUAGUUCACCUGGCAGUGAAAUAUGGUCGAAUAAUGCGUGAAAGUACACGAGCGGCGGACGGCUGAGUAACGCGUAGGAACGUACCCCAAAGUGAGGAAUAAGCACCGGAAACGGUGUCUAAUGCCGCAUGUGGUCUAUGGACUAAAGUCUUCGGACGCUUUGGGAGCGGCCUGCGUAUGAUUAGCUAGUUGGUGAGGUAAUGGCUCACCAAGGCUACGAUCAUUAGCUGGUCUGAGAGGAUGAUCAGCCAGACUGGGACUGAGACACGGCCCAGACUCCUACGGGAGGCAGCAGUAGGGAAUUUUCCACAAUGGACGAAAGUCUGAUGGAGCAACGCCGCGUGCAGGAUGAAUGCCUUCGGGUUGUAAACUGCUUUUAUGAGUGAUGAAUAUGACAGUAACUCAAGAAUAAGGGUCGGCUAACUACGUGCCAGCAGCCGCGGUCAUACGUAGGACCCAAGCGUUAUCCGGAAUUACUGGGCGUAAAGAGUUNNGUAGGCGGNUUGNUAAGUAANAUGUGAAAGCGUGNGGCUCAGCCGUAUAAACAUAUCNNANACUGACAACUANAGGGCGAGAGAGGUUAUU